UUAGAGCACACCAUUCUCAAAAACAAAGAAAAAAAAAAACAAAAAAAAAACGAACAUGGAACUUCAGGAAUGGCUCAAUAAAAACAAAGACAAAUAAGUCCAACAUGCAAACCAUCCUAUGAAUUAUACUACCGCUGUGGAAGUAACCUGUAGAUAUACUGCUUGGUCAAUUCCAUUUAAAAAAAAUAUACAACAGUAUGUAUGAACAACAAUCCCAUACUCACUAGAAGUGUUUCACUAAUGCACCAGACUACGUACAAAAUCAUGUCUGUCCUACGAGUCGGCCAGACCUCCUAAAGUCUGUCUCAAGAGUCAGAAGUUCCCAUGCUUGGAGAGACACAGCUCUGUCUCCGUUUGUACACGGGGGUAGCGACACCGACAGACGGCUAAACUAUCAUGUCCUCUAAGGUGGCUUCAGUGUGUUCACGGUGUGGGCCCCUAUACAGACACAGACAGUCUGGAAGGGGCAGGCACACCAUAUGGUGGUGGUGGUGGGAGGACAUGACACCACCAUAGAGACACUGACAGUCUCCAACACCACCAUAGAGACACUGACAGGGUCCAACACCACCAUAGAGACACUGACAGGGUCCAACACCACCAUAGAGACACUGACAGGGUCCAACACCACCAUAGAGACACUGACAGUCUCCAACACCACCAUAGACACACUGACAGGGUCCAACACCACCAUAGAGACACUGACAGUCUCCAACACCACCAUAGAGACACUGACAGUCUCCAACACCACCAUAGAGACACUGACAGUCUCCAACACCACCAUAGACACACUGACAGGGGUCCAACACCACCAUAGAG
Long non-coding RNA from Oncorhynchus tshawytscha (Chinook salmon), 819 nucleotides. Lineage: Eukaryota; Metazoa; Chordata; Actinopteri; Salmoniformes; Salmonidae. The record is from Ensembl.